This 434-nucleotide ribosomal RNA is filed under the name uncultured Cyanobacterium sp. RNAcentral's name for it is "bacterial SSU rRNA". It matches the Rfam family "Bacterial small subunit ribosomal RNA", at positions 958 to 1385 of the family's 1533-position model. Lineage: Bacteria; Bacillati; Cyanobacteriota; Cyanophyceae; Chroococcales; Geminocystaceae. The record is from RNAcentral.
AACGCGAAGAACCUUACCUGGGCUUGACAUCCUCGGAACCUCUGCGAAAGCAGGGGGUGCCCUCGGGAACCGAGAGACAGGUGGUGCACGGUUGUCGUCAGCUCGUGUCGUGAGAUGUUGGGUUAAGUCCCGCAACGAGCGCAACCCUCGUGGUCUGUUGAUACAGCGCGCAAGCGUAUGAUCCCUCAGGCCAGACUGCCGGUGACAAACCGGAGGAAGGUGGGGAUGACGUCAAAUCAUCACGCCCCUUAUGUCCAGGGCUACACACGUGUUACAAUGGGCAUGGUACAACGGGUUGCUUGGCAGCAAUGUCUGGCAAAUCCCUUAAAACCACCCUCAGUUCGGAUCGGAGUCUGCAACUCGACUCCGUGAAGUCGGAAUCGCUAGUAAACGCAGAUCAGCACGCUGCGUUGAAUACGUUCCCGGGCCUUGUA